UGUUUUUUUUUCAGGGCAGCAAAACCAGUUUUAUGAAUGAUAUAAGAAUUCCAACUGGACUAUAAAUGAACACAUCGUAACAGGUUUGAUGAAAUACUUUUGACAGAAGAUCUAUCCAACCAAUAAUAUGGAGUUUCACUGAAUAUACUAUAGACCAUCUUAGGCAACUAGAAUGUUCACUGGGCUAUUUUACAAAGAAGUAAUAUCACUACCUUCAUCCCUGUCUACAAGUUAUAAUGAUGGAUUAGGGAGCACAAGGAAAGCAGAAAGGAAGCUGGGAAAAUCUACUAAUCUCUGCUCUGAAACUUAAAUCUGAUUUCUUCCUGCGAUUAAAAAUGAUGAAGGACCCCCAAAAGAGCUUUUGUUUGUAUGCAUUUAUUGAUAUUUACCAUAGCUAUACACUAGUAAAAUUUUCAUUGUCAUGACCUCUAAC
Molecule: non-coding RNA, 433 nt
Organism: Pantherophis guttatus
Lineage: Eukaryota; Metazoa; Chordata; Lepidosauria; Squamata; Colubridae
Source: RefSeq, a predicted model, not a curated record